AAGCAAAGAAGUAAAAUUUACAGUUAGUUUCGACCUAACUUUAGGGGAAUCAUUACCCCCCAUGCUUA
RNAcentral lists this transfer RNA (68 nucleotides) under Antilochus russus. RNAcentral describes it as "tRNA-Arg". The record is from RNAcentral. Lineage: Eukaryota; Metazoa; Arthropoda; Insecta; Hemiptera; Pyrrhocoridae.